Molecule: long non-coding RNA, 7315 nt
Filed under: Lactuca sativa (garden lettuce)
Lineage: Eukaryota; Viridiplantae; Streptophyta; Magnoliopsida; Asterales; Asteraceae
Description: long non-coding RNA (LSAT_LNC006217)
Source: RNAcentral
CUAGUGAAGAACUUCAGGUUUUAUUCUUGAUUAGUUCUUGAGACUUUCAAGACCUUUAAGACUCCCACUGUCCUCUUGACAUAUAAGACUCCCUUGUCAAACAUCCAAGAGAUAGUGCGGAUUCUAAUCAAGAAAAACACUUUACCCAAUUGGCCUAAGUUGGUCUUUGUUUUAUCCAAAACAUCACAACUUACCAAUUUCAAAUGUACAAGAGUAGAAAACUUUUACUCUUACAUUUGACAAGUGUUUUAAACCUUCUUUAAGACAUGUCACUCAAAUGACAAUCUUGGAGUAUGACUCUAAGACUUGUAUUGGAACGAAGUAUGACUCAUCUUCUUGAUUUAACCAUUUCAACAAUUCAAGUUCCUCUUCUUAGUCAUAAGAAUGCACUAAGAUUUCCUUAGAGAACUAAUUUUGAUAUGGUUUCUUAAUCAUUAAGAUGAUCACAAAACUGAUACUAAAGUACUCUCCCAUCUUUUCAGAUUUGAGAAACUUUUAUCCUUCUGCCUUAUUUGAUUCUUCUUAUCGAUCUUUAGUGGUGGACUUAAUCAGUGCACAAGAAUGUGUACUCGAUCCCUAAGUCCUUUACUUGACUCACACAUCCAUGUGAACAAGUAAUUAGUCUUAAUUUUCCAAAACUUGAAAGUUCUCAUUCAUCAUGCUAUACAACUUGCAUGAUUCCAAGUUCCGGUCCAAUUGAAACUUGGGUGAUGAGAAUCUUUCCUUAUUUGGUAAAUUUAGACAUUACCACAAAUGAAAGAAUCAAUUUCAUACUUCCACUCUUGCUACUAAUGGAAUCUUAUAAGCAACAAAAAUUUCCACAGAUGCCAUUGUAAGGAUAUUUUAAAAUAAAUAAAAUCAAAAAUUUCCUUUUAUUUUAAAACUUUGCGGAAAAACUAUCCUUACAAUCCAUAUGAAAACUUGUUGUUAUCUAUUCCUAAGCAAUAUCUCAUAACUCCUAAGAAGUAGCUCAAGAAUCCGAUUUUUCAAACUAUGCGAUAGAAAUCCAUCUAUGCGAUCAGAUUCAGCAUAUUCUUCCUUUAAGUUUCUUCACUUUCCUUUGAUUCUUAAACCAUCACCAUGCGACCCGGUCACAUCAUGUAUCAAGAAUCUCAGAAUAGAAACUUAACAGAGUUAGAUAGUGGAUUUUACCUGAAGUAGAGUCAAACUUAUUGACUUUAACAUCCUUAGGUAAAUUUGGCAGCUUCGCAACCAAUGCCCUUUCUUUGGCAAUACAAACAUAUGGACCCUUUGAUAAUGGUACACAGGACUAUCACAGACUUAGCUUUUCUCUUUACCAUUUGGUCAACCGAGUUGACUAUAGCCGAUCCCUUUCCAUUGGGAAGAGAAUGCUUUACUGGAUAUCCAAUGUCAUCAUUGUCAAUGUCCAUAAAGUUUUAGGAAGUUGAUCUUAACAAAUAGAUAAGAUCAUUAAGGGUCUUGUCAUAGUCUUUUUCAUAGGUGUUCCAAAAGAACUCACUAUGUGACUUAGAAAGUAGUUGAACCACCAACUUUCUCAAGACUUUGACACCCAACUCUCCCGGCUUGUCAAUAUGUGACUACAUCUCCAAGAUGUGACCACACCUAGACCUUGCCUUGCCAAAAGGGCCUGAGUGACCUUAAACUUUUCAAGAACUUGUGGGUUAGGGAGAAUAAUUUGAAGAGGUGAAGAAGUAUGAUAUCCAUGGGACAUCAUCUUCAUUAGGAAACCUUGUUUCAAGAGAUUUGGGAAGAUCAUAGGUGUCUAAACCAGACAUCUUUUGGGAGAUAUUCAAGAUAGUUGAUUUAAAGUCCUUAAUAUGACACCCAAUAUGAAAUAUUAAGGCUAGGACCCAACAAACUAUUUUAUAACUUAGAAGAGGUAUGCCGUAAUCCAAGCUAUAAAAUAUUUGAAGGUAGGUGAAUGACGAUUCACCAAUUUCCACCAAGAUAAACGAAAUGUAUUAUUAGGUUUUAAUUGGUUUUGAAACUCCUAGAUCUUUGAGAUUCAUUGAACUUUUCAAAGGCAUGUUUCAAUCUCGAGUGUGCCCUUCAGGUUUUGUGACUGGGAUGCCGAGGAUCACAAAACAAGGUGUGAAGUAACCAUGCAAAUCACUUGGUACCCUUAAUAAAUUACCCCUCAAUCGAUGUGCCGGUUAACCACACACGCUCCAUCGAUACUAUGAUAAAUAUUAAGUCACCCUUUACCUACCUUGUUAAGUCCAAGUUAGUGUGCCGGUUAACCACACACGCUCCACUAACGACUUAGACAAAGUGUAAAGUGUAAUUUCAUGGAUUAGCACCUUAUUCACAUUUUUCCUAAGUAACUAAGAUUGGGUAUUAUUAAGAGUUUAGUUACUUAGUAUUAUCAUUAAUACUUUUAAUGAAGGGAGAAUUCUAGUCCUGUCAAACCCGUUCGGCUAACGACCCUCCACCAGUCAAGCAAGCGGUGGGUGAGAGUGGACACCCAUUAAGUUGCCAUUUUAUAGGCAACAACCUUAUACCCACCUUAUAGACCGGCUUCGUGAAUGAGGCGUACUAGCGGUAAGACUGACUUUACUCUUAUACAUAUAUAUAUUAUUAACUUAUAAUAUUAUAAAGUAUAAGGGUUGAAUUUUAACUUUUAAAAUUCUAAGGGCUAACUUGGAAUUAAAGUAUUCAUAAGUGAAAACUUUACAAAUUCCAAAACUUGAGGGCAAGUUUUGAAACUAUUCAAAACUAAUUAAUUCCAUAACUUAUGUGUUUAAAGUAGUUUUAAUCCAAAAACUCUUCAAGUUCCAUAACUUGAGGACAAGUUAUGGAAGACUUUAAACUAAUAAAAGAAUUAACUUUUCUUUAUUUUAUAACUUAUGGAAUUAAUUAAGGUUACACUUUUUUUUUUUUUAUUUUAUUUUAUUAAAUGAAGAGACUCUUGGUCCUCCAUAACUUGAGGACAAGUUAUGGAGUCAUAAAACCAUUUAAUUAGAACUAGACUCUUCAUUUUUGUAACCUUUGCCAAUUUUUAUGAGUUUUAUGAUUCUUAAAUGUGACUUUUCAUAUAACUUGAGGACAAGUUACAAAAACACAUUUUAGAAUCAAUUCUUAGAUUAAUUUGGAUUAAAACCAACUAUCACAUAAUUUUAUUCAUUAAUCUAAAUUCACUCAUAAAACAAGGUAACACAAAAAACUUUUGGUGAUCCAUAACUUAUUCUUAAGUUAUGGAAUCCUUUAAAACAUUAACACCAAAUUUUGUAACUCCAAAAAAACUUUGAAUCAAUUUUUUUUUUAAAACCUUUUCAUAUCCAUAACUUAUGGAGGUUUCAAAAAAUAAAACUCUUUAGAUCAAACUUUUAAAACUAAUAAAAUAAUCAUAUUAUUUUAUCUUUUAUUAAAUUUGACCUAAUUCAACUCAUAAAGCAAAUUAUUCAAAUUUUACAAAUAAUUAGUUUUUCACAAGAACAAGUAAUUAUCUUAAAAUUUGACAAACUUCAUGUUUUUUUUUUUUUUUUUUUUCAACUUUGAAAAUAAAAUAUUUGCAUCAAUAUAACAGAAAACAACCCGUGGCUCUGAUACCACUGUUGGGUUUUGAGCAUUCUAACACUUCCUAAGUGUACAUGCAACCCUAAAUACCUUGGAUCUAUGUUUUCUCUAUUAUACAUGCAAAUAAGAACUUCCAAGGUAUUAUCCUAAUCUAGCAUACAAAACAAUAACUAUAGCAAGAUAGAAUACAUACCUCUUUGGUGUAGAAAGUCUUCAUGAAGCUUGAGUGCCUAGUGCCCCAAGUGUGACACCUCAAAUGGAAUCACAAUCAUCAAAACACUUAGAAUGACUUGAGAGAAUUCUACACUCAUCAAAAUCGGCUAGCCCUUUCUUCACUAUCUCUAGUGGCCGAUUUUUCCUCAAUAAUAAGAUGCUUAUAUAGUUACACAAUUAGGGUAAACUCUUAAUUGUCAUGGCUUUCCAUUUCCUUGGAUCCAUGGGUACAAAUACACCAUGGAGCAUCCAUGGACCAUCCUAUGGGUUUUAGCCCAACUUGAUUAUCCAUGGAGCAUUAGCCCACUAUACAAGUAUGGAUGAUUUACACAAUCAACCCAUAUAUUUAAUUAGUCUUCUUUUGAUCACUUAAUUAAUCCUAGAUUAAUUCUUGAUCAAUACUAAUUAAAUAAUCUUAUUAUUCUUAUUAUUAAUAUACUAGAACUUAUAAUAUAUUAAUAACCAUAAGUGUCUUAUUUCUCUCAUUAUAGUCUAUCCAAGUGCAUGAUGGUAUGCAACCCAAAUGGACCAUGCCGGGUCGGGUCAAGUCUUACCAAUUAUAGUUAUGGACUUAGACAUUAAUCCAACAGUCUCCCACUUGGAUAAGUCUAAAACUAUUAUUGCGUAUGACUUCAGGAACCAACUGGCAAUCGUAGCUCUCAAAAGCUUCUGUCGAACUCUGACCUUGUAGAUGAACUCUGACCUUUGUCAAUGACUUGUCCAUUAGAUAAGGGAUCAUAUAUUCCUCCAUUCUAGAUAUCAUAUGGACUGAGACAUGGAUUAUAAUCAUUCUCUCUGUCCAUUUGUUGUUUCCCGAUUUCCGAUUUAUGACGACUGACUAAUUGAACAAAUCAAAUCAGUCCUGGCCCGGCCGAGCACUUCCAUUUGUCAUCAUCAAAUCAUCGAGGGGCCCACAGAUAUCGCUUUUAUCCCGAAGGUAAAAGGAACGGAUAAACUUCGACUCAUAUGGCUUGUUCUACUACUUGUUGAAUCAUACACAAAGGCACGUUUUAUAGCACCGAGUUACCAAAUGCGUUUUCGUGCAAUCAAUGUACUAUCAACUCAUAGUAACAACUCAUAUCUCUAGGUUUGAAGAAUAUAAGAUAUUAUCGUCUCAUGAUCACUCGUGAUAAAAUCCAUGAAGUGAUUCCAAUGAGCGCGGGUUGAAUCCAAUACUCAGAACUUAUGAGCACUCAUGAGUGUUGUAGCCCUUUGUCCAACACCUUAGACCUCUACAAGCCAACCCAUGACAGUCUUAAUUCAUAUCUACUUCCAACAUAUGACCGACUGUGGAUGGUUUGAAUAACUUAGUCAUUCCGGAAGAAUAACCUAGUUUAUUCGGGAAGUCAAAACAUGCAAAGUGAAACACAAUAAUAAUUGAAUCCAAUAUGGUAUCAACCCUUUGAACAUAAAUAAAACACCUUUUAUUUAUCACCAUAUGAUUACACAUUAUUCAUUGUAUACUGUUUCAGCUAUCAACUUUAUUCUUGAAUUUAAAACAAUAGUUGUCCCAUGCUCCAAGCAUGUACACUAUGUUUUCUUAAACACUAGUCAUGCCACACACCAAGUAUGCAUACUAUGUUUGUCUAUGAUCUUUACUUUGUGAACUAGAUCAAUUGAACAUAACUUCAAUGAUUCUCUUUUCACACUCCCAAAUCCUUACUGCAAAUGCAAGAAUUCCAAAUUCAUGCCAUUUACUGAAAUCUGUUAGAUUCUAAACUUAUAUGCAUUGAUCCUCUUGUAAUGAUUAUGCACAAAGUCAGAAAGACUUGACAACAAUCAUUACAGAGUAUUCCAAAGGAGAUCAGCUCCUUGGAAACAUCCUUCUUGCAUUAAGUUUCCUAAUCUUAAACAGAUUGAAAAUUCUAACUUUGAAACAUUUCCAGAUUCCAUUUUGACUAUCACUUCUGAACAAGAGUUGCCUCCUUACAGAUUAUGUCAAUAUGGUCCUUCCAGAAUUAUCACUAUACUUCCAACUGUCCUUGAGCAACCAAUCUUUGGUAAACCUUAGAUUGUCCUCGACAAUUGUUUAAUCCUUUUAGUCAUAUCCAGUUCUAAACCUUUUCCCUUCUUAAUGCCCCAGGCAUUUGGAAAAUUUUAGAACGGAUGAAUAUAGCACAUGUAAUCGAUCCUAUAUCCGAAGCAUAUGGGACACGAUUCAUGAUGUCUUACAUAAAGACUAAACCAGUCUUUUGCUAUAAUAUUUCCAUUUCAAUUUGCCAAGUUCUCAUAAUUCAGAUUAUGAAAAGGGAUGCCGUAAUCAUAAUCGAAUUUUAGAACGCAAAUAAUGGACCCAUAUACAGAAUUUCCUUAUGUUGAGCCAUUCCAACAUGAAAUUCAUAUAUAUCCUUGACUAAAUGAUUAAAACCUCACGAUCUAAGCUUAUAGAUUUGAGAUGAAGUAUAAUUUCCUCUCCCUUAAUUAUAGCAAAACAACUUUUUCCCAAUUGAAACUUUUGUUUUCUAUAAUUAACAUUGCUAACUUGCAAUACUUAUCAUAAUUAUCAUGCUCCCACUAACAUGAUGAUUAUUAGCAUAACACUUAUGCUCCCACUAGCUUUGACAUGUACUCAGAAAUCAGCUGGACUUCUAGAAAUCAAUACUUCAUUGACUUUCUUACCAAAGUUCAGAUUUCUGAUGCUAGAUUGUUUUGAUAAAACUUUAUCAAAAUCAUACACCUUCCCUUAGAUAGCACACUUGUGUGUCUAAACAAUUAUGAAGAGGUAUGCCGUAAUCAUAAUGGUUAGACCUUUUUGCCACUUCUCACAAGUCCAGGUUAGUGUGCCGGUAAACCACACACGCUCCACUAACGACUUUGAGAAUGCAAAUAUCACAAUUGCUAUCUAGCUAAAAUCUACUUAGUGAAAGUGUUUCCUCACCAUCAUUUUCAUGAAUCGGAGAGAAACCUUAUGACACUUAGAUUUAAUGGUGUAUGUGUUCUUAUCCAUGUGAAUUGUCAAAACCAUAGUCACAAGACAAGGAUAAUGACAAAUCCAAACUCAUAUGGACUGAAGUCAAUCUUAAUUUCUUGCCACCUGGCAUCCCAAGGGCAUGCCAUUGCUUCCAAGUUGUUGUGCACCCAAUUGAGAACUCUAAGAACUCAUAUGCAAACCAACUUUAAUUGGAAUGAGCACAGAAUAUGUCAACAUGAUAGGUUAUGUACCUCAAGUCGUGUGUUAGUGAAGAACUUCAGGUUUUAUUCUUGAUUAGUUCUUGAGACUUUCAAGACCUUUAAGACUCCCACUGUCCUCUUGACAUAUAAGACUUCCUUGUCAGAUAUUCAAGAGAUAGUGUGGAUUCUAAUCAAGACAAACACUUCACACAAUUGGCCUAAGUUGGUCUUUGUUUUAUCCAAAACAUCACAACUUACCAAUUUCAAAUGUACAAGAGUAGAAAACUUUUACUCUUACAUUUGACAAGUGUUUUAAACCUUCUUUAAGACAUGUCACUCAAAUGACAAUCUUGGAGUAUGACUCUAAGACUUGUAUUGGAACGAAGUAUGACUCAUCUUCUUGAUUUAACCAUUUCAACAAUUCAAGUUCCUCUUCUUAGUCAUAAGAAUGCACUAAGAUUUCCUUAGAGAACUAAUGUUGAUAUGGUUUCUU